CCUACUGGAGACAUCAUUGAGGAAUAUUGGUCCAUGGGCGCGCGCCUGAACCCUCCCCUCCUCUUUCCGUCUUCCUUCCCUCCUUUUUUUCCCCUUCUUUUCUCCCUUAAUAAAGUGAGGCACGUGUGCCUUUUUGUAUGUACUUUAUGAAUAAGGAUCGGCUAACUCCGUGCCAGCAGCCGCGGUAAUACGGAGGAUCCGAGCGUUAUCCGGAUUUAUUGGGUUUAAAGGGAGCGUAGAUGGGUUGUUAAGUCAGUUGUGAAAGUUUGCGGCUCAACCGUAAAAUUGCAAUUGAUACUGGCAGUCAUGAGUACAGUUGAGGUAGGCGGAAUUCGUGGUGUAGCGGGGAAAUGCUUAGAUAGCACGAAGAAAGCAGAUGGCGAAGGCAGCUUACUAAACUGCCAAUGACAUUGAUGCUCGAAAGUGUGGGUAUCAAACAGGAUUAGAUAGACUAGUAGUC
RNAcentral lists this ribosomal RNA (460 nucleotides) under uncultured bacterium. RNAcentral describes it as "partial 16S ribosomal RNA". It matches the Rfam family "Bacterial small subunit ribosomal RNA", at positions 338 to 795 of the family's 1533-position model. The record is from RNAcentral.